GAGGCAAACCGCUGGUUACGCAAGCUAUGUCCAAUUUAUAGAUCGCGUUUUCUCUGCCUCGUACCCAGGUGCUUUGGUUUGUACACGUGGGACGGCACGCGAGGGAGAAAAACGGAAAAUUAAUCCACCUGUCCCACGCAAAAGGCCACGCGAGCAAUAGAACAACAUAGCGCCUGGGUACGAAGCAGGCGUUUUCUCAUGACGCGUUUCCGCUUGGUAGCAAUCGACGGUAGGUGAGCAUAGACGGAUUUUCAUAUUUAUUACUGGGGUGGUGCCAGAAAUUUUAGGGGGGUGAGCCGUGAGCAGGUGACUGAAGCAACACAAAGUGUCACCAAACCCCAGUAAGGUCUAUAUUCUAGGGGUGGAGCACUAGAGCCACGAGGGGGAGUCUAGAGAGCAGAAAACAAAGUACCCCAGGAAAAAAUUGAAAAAAACUCUAUUCAGGGAAGAUAAUAGAGUUUCAAAACUUUACAAUUGCUCCAAUAAACCAGUGAAUGCAAGCUAGGAGCGAUUAGUUUCAGAGUGUUUCUGUUCUAGUGUACUCCUACGUUUAUUUUGUAUCAUCAAC
Molecule: non-coding RNA, 568 nt
Organism: Paramuricea clavata
Lineage: Eukaryota; Metazoa; Cnidaria; Anthozoa; Malacalcyonacea; Plexauridae
Source: the annotation of a GenBank genome assembly